RNAcentral lists this ribosomal RNA (460 nucleotides) under uncultured bacterium. RNAcentral's name for it is "partial 16S ribosomal RNA". It matches the Rfam family "Bacterial small subunit ribosomal RNA", at positions 338 to 795 of the family's 1533-position model. The record is from RNAcentral.
CCUACGGGUGGCAGCAGUGAGGAAUAUUGGUCAAUGGACGAGAGUCUGAACCAGCCAAGUAGCGUGAAGGAUGACUGCCCUAUGGGUUGUAAACUUCUUUUAUAUGGGAAUAAAAUGUUCCACGUGUGGGAUUUUGUAUGUACCAUCUGAAUAAGGAUCGGCUAACUCCGUGCCAGCAGCUGCGGUAAUACGGAGGAUCCGAGCGUUAUCCGGAUUUAUUGGGUUUAAAGGGAGCGUAGGUGGAUUGUUAAGUCAGUUGUGAAAGUUUGCGGCUCAACCGUAAAAUUGCAGUUGAAACUGGCAGUCUUGAGUACAGUAGAGGUGGGCGGAAUUCGUGGUGUAGCGGUGAAAUGCUUAGAUAUCACGAAGAACUCCGAUUGCGAAGGCAGUUCACUGGACUGCAACUGACACUGAGGCUCGAAAGUGUGGGUAUCAAACAGGAUUAGAUACCCCUGUAGUC